UAGGGAAUCUUCCACAAUGGACGCAAGUCUGAUGGAGCAACGCCGCGUGAGUGAAGAAGGUUUUCGGACCGUAAAGCUCUGUUGUUGGUGAAGAAGGAUAGAGGUAGUAACUGGCCUUUAUUUGACGGUAAUCAACCAGAAAGUCACGGCUAACUACGUGCCAGCAGCCGCGGUAAAUCGUAGGUGGCAAGCGUUGUCCGGAUUUAUUGGGCGUAAGGCGAGCGCAGGCGGAAGAAUAAGUCUGAUGUGAAAGCCCUCGGCUUAACCGAGGAAUUGCAUCGGAAACUGUUUUCUUGAGUGCAGAAGAGGAGAGUAGAACUCCAUGUGUAGCGGUGGAAUGCGUAGAUAUAUGGAAGAAUACCAGUGGCGAAGGCGGCUCUCUGGUCUGCAACUGACGCUGAGGCUCGAAAGCAUGGGUAGCGAACAGGAUUAGAUACCCUGGUAGUCCAUGCCGUAAACGAUGAGUGCUAAGUGUUGGGAGGCUUCCGCCUCUCAGUGCUGCAGCUAACGCAUUAAGCACUCCGCCUGGGGGAGUACGACCGCAAGGUUGAAACUCAAAGU
RNAcentral lists this ribosomal RNA (561 nucleotides) under uncultured bacterium. RNAcentral's name for it is "partial 16S ribosomal RNA". It matches the Rfam family "Bacterial small subunit ribosomal RNA", at positions 355 to 907 of the family's 1533-position model. The record is from RNAcentral.